UCCCUGGUGGCUCAGAGGUUAAAGCGUCUGCCUGGAAUACAGAAGACCCAGGUUGGAUCCCUGGGUUGGGAA
Molecule: transfer RNA, 72 nt
Filed under: Ovis aries (sheep)
Lineage: Eukaryota; Metazoa; Chordata; Mammalia; Artiodactyla; Bovidae
Rfam family: tRNA
About the family: Transfer RNA (tRNA) molecules are approximately 80 nucleotides in length. Their secondary structure includes four short double-helical elements and three loops (D, anti-codon, and T loops).
Source: Rfam by way of RNAcentral